AAAUUAUUUUAAAGUUCAAAUAGGCCCUUAUAUGUUAUUAUUUGAAUUUAUCUGACUAGGUGCGGCGCGACUAGGAUAUGAAUUUUAAUUGUAUUACUCAAGUUAGCAUUCAAGUUGAAGUUCAAGUUCAAGUUAAAUUUCCAGGUGUGGGAUUUAUUUCAGUACAUGCACGUGGUUAAUAUUGUCAUUUAAUAUUAUGUGUUUACCGUAUGUGUUGUAAAAAUAUUUAUCGCUAGGGGCCAGCAUAAUUGGUCCAGGACUUCACCGUCCUUGGUAUGCCACAAUGCGAUUUCAUGUUACAGGGUUGCAACCAUUAUAUUGUCGCCAGGGGCCCACAUAUAGGGUCCGGGACAUUAAAGUCCUUGGAGUUGCCACAGUGCGUAUGGAAGUUAUGUUACGUUAUGACAAUAUGUGUUACCAUUUUAUUAACAUGGACAAUUAUUGCAUGUUCCCACACUGAGUGUACCCUGUAUGCUCAUCCCAUAUUCAACAGUUCAGGUGAUUGAUAUCGGAGGCGCGUGGAGAGUCGAAUGGGCGCGUCGCAUCUAUUUAAAAAUAAAUGUUUCUUAAAACAUAUUAUGUUAUUUCAUGUGAUAUCUUUUGGUUAUGUAAACUCUGAAAUUCUAUACUAUUUGAGAUUUGUGUGUGAUUUAUUUAAAUAAAUGUUGUUAUAUUAUUUUAAUGUCAU
This 688-nucleotide long non-coding RNA is filed under the name Salvia miltiorrhiza (redroot sage). RNAcentral's name for it is "long non-coding RNA (SMIL_LNC005752)". Lineage: Eukaryota; Viridiplantae; Streptophyta; Magnoliopsida; Lamiales; Lamiaceae. The record is from RNAcentral.